RNAcentral lists this ribosomal RNA (443 nucleotides) under uncultured bacterium. Its description in RNAcentral is "partial 16S ribosomal RNA". It matches the Rfam family "Bacterial small subunit ribosomal RNA", at positions 338 to 795 of the family's 1533-position model. The record is from RNAcentral.
CCUACGGGGGGCUGCAGUGGGGAAUAUUGGGCAAUGGGCGAAAGCCUGACCCAGCAACGCCGCGUGAAGGAAGAAGGCUUUCGGGUUUUAAACUUCUUUUCUGCGGGACGAAGAAAGUGACGGUACCUCAGGAAUAAGCCACGGCUAACUACGGGCCAGCAGCCGCGGUAAUACGUAGGUGGCAAGCGUUAGCAGGAUUUAUUGGUUGUAAAGGGCGUGUAGGUGGGAAGGCAAGUCAGAUGUGAAAUCUCAGGGCUCAACCCUGAGCCUGCAUUUGAAACUGUUAUUCUUGAGUGCUGGAGAGGCAAUCGGAAUUCGGUGUGUAGCGGUGAAAUGCGUAGAUAUACGGAGGAACACCAGUGGCGAAGGCGGAUUGCUGGACAGUAACUGACGCUGAGGCGCGAAAGCGUGGGGAGCAAACAGGAUUAGAUACCCGAGUAGUC